RNAcentral lists this ribosomal RNA (778 nucleotides) under uncultured bacterium. Its description in RNAcentral is "bacterial SSU rRNA". It matches the Rfam family "Bacterial small subunit ribosomal RNA", at positions 563 to 1338 of the family's 1533-position model. The record is from RNAcentral.
AAGGGUCUGUAGGUGGUUCGUUAAAGUCAGAUGUGAAAGCCCAGGGCUCAACCUUGGAACUGCAUUUGAUACUGGCAAACUAGAGUAUGGUAGAGGAAUGGGGAAUUUCUGGUGUAGCGGUGAAAUGCGUAGAGAUCAGAAGGAACACCAAUGGCGAAGGCAACAUUCUGGACCAAUACUGACACUGAGGGACGAAAGCGUGGGGAUCAAACAGGAUUAGAUACCCUGGUAGUCCACGCUGUAAACGAUGAGUACUAGCUGUUGGAUUCGGUGUAAAGGAUCUAGUGGCGUAGCUAACGCGUUAAGUACUCCGCCUGGGGACUACGGCCGCAAGGCUAAAACUCAAAGGAAUUGACGGGGACCCGCACAAGCGGUGGAGCAUGUGGUUUAAUUCGAUGCAACGCGAAGAACCUUACCUGGUCUUGACAUCCUGCGAACUUUCUAGAGAUAGAUUGGUGCCUUCGGGAACGCAGUGACAGGUGCUGCACGGCUGUCGUCAGCUCGUGUUGUGAAAUGUUGGGUUAAGUCCCGCAACGAGCGCAACCCCUAUUGAUAGUUACCAUCAUUAAGUUGGGUACUCUAUUGAGACUGCCGCUGACAAGGCGGAGGAAGGUGGGGACGACGUCAAGUCAUCAUGGCCCUUACGACCAGGGCUACACACGUGCUACAAUGGGUAUUACAGAGGGCAGCGAAGUAGCGAUAUGGAGCGAAACUCAGAAAGGUACUCUUAGUCCGGAUUGCAGUCUGCAACUCGACUGCAUGAAGUCGGAAUCGCUAG